AUUGAACGCUGGCGGCAGGCCUAACACAUGCAAGUCGAACGGUAACAGGAAGCAGCUUGCUGCUUCGCUGACGAGUGGCGGACGGGUGAGUAAUGUCUGGGAAACUGCCUGAUGGAGGGGGAUAACUACUGGAAACGGUAGCUAAUACCGCAUAAUGUCGCAAGACCAAAGAGGGGGACCUUCGGGCCUCUUGCCAUCGGAUGUGCCCAGAUGGGAUUAGCUUGUUGGUGGGGUAACGGCUCACCAAGGAGACGAUCCCUAGCUGGUCUGAGAGGAUGACCAGCCACACUGGAACUUAGACACGGUCCAGACUCCUACGGGAGGCAGCAGUGGGGAAUAUUGCACAAUGGGCGCAAGCCUGAUGCAGCCAUGCCGCGUGUAUGAAGAAGGCCUUCGGGUUGUAAAGUACUUUCAGCGGGGAGGAAGGGAGUAAAAUUAAUACCUUUGCUCAUUGACGUUACCCGCAGAAGAAGCACCGGCUAACUCCGUGCCAGCCGCCGCAGUAA
RNAcentral lists this ribosomal RNA (506 nucleotides) under uncultured bacterium. Its description in RNAcentral is "partial 16S ribosomal RNA". It matches the Rfam family "Bacterial small subunit ribosomal RNA", at positions 30 to 523 of the family's 1533-position model. The record is from RNAcentral.